AUGCUCUUGUCCAUCCCAGGAGCCAUGACCUUUGUCUGCAGGAUGAUGUUAUUUUUAGAGCUGCUUAAAAGAUGGCCUGCCUGCUGCAGAAGCAAGACAACGCAGAGGAAAGGAAUGGAUAUGGUGCACUAUGGAUGCGGAUCAAAGAAGCAUCUAGCAAGAUUGUCCUGUUACAGAGAGAAACCAGCUGGACCUUCCUCUGCGGUGGUUCACCAUAAUGGAAGUUCGGAUCAUGACCUUCUACUUCGAGAGAACAAAGUCAGGGGAGGAGUAAGAUCAUCUCCUACAGCAAGGUAAAGUUCUCUCUCUACAUAUAUUUUCACUUUCUUGGAGUUAAAUGUCAGCUAUGCACGCUUUAUCAUUAUCCAAGCCAAGGAGAGCUCAAAUCUGUAAAUCUAGCCUCAGUUCUAAUUGUGUGCCUUGCUUAUGGCAGCAGAUGCAUGUCAUCUGUAAAUAUAUAUCCUGCUUUACUCCUACAGAGAGACGUCGAAGGUUUUCCUACAGUCUACAUCAGUAGCAAUCAGCUUCUAUUAAUGUGGGAGUGAGGUUUGUGACUUGGCCAUUGAAAAAGCUCAGAAGUCUUCCAGAUGCAGGAAUCAGCUUUGGAAAUCUACUGAGCUGUUUCUUAAGUAUGUCUCUUUUGCUUUUUUUUUGGGGGGGGGGGGAACUGCAAGACAUAGGCUUUGUGCAUGUAGACUAUGAAUGUGAUAGCCCUGGGAUUUCUCCCAUUGUAAAUUACACCUUCUUCCCUAAUUCCAUGGCAUUUCCCUUAUCCAAGAGCUGUUUCUUAAAAAUACUAUCAUUCUCAUGAGUUUUACCCAUGCCCCCCAACUUGUACCUGUUAUUGGCUUCUGCAAAGUCUAAGAGAUUUCUCUAAUGUCCAUUUCCAUCAUGUAUUUUCAAAAAACUGAAUGUGACUUCCAG
This 924-nucleotide long non-coding RNA is filed under the name Apteryx owenii (little spotted kiwi). Its description in RNAcentral is "lncRNA (ENSAOWG00000006975.1)". The record is from RNAcentral. Lineage: Eukaryota; Metazoa; Chordata; Aves; Apterygiformes; Apterygidae.